Molecule: non-coding RNA, 2136 nt
Organism: Phalacrocorax carbo (great cormorant)
Lineage: Eukaryota; Metazoa; Chordata; Aves; Suliformes; Phalacrocoracidae
Source: RefSeq, a predicted model, not a curated record
UUCCUCCGCGGCGGCCGCCACCUACUGCUGCCCCGUCAGCCACGCGCGGGUGCACCUCUCGCUGUCUGGAGCCGGGGAAUUUCGGCAGCGGGGCAAAAACCGUGGCUGGGGAGGAUCCGCGGGGUGUCACGGGAGCUGAGGGCGGGGAGAGCUGCCGGUUCCCGCUGCGGUAGUCCCGCGCGGCGUGGCGCGUGUCCCGCACCGGGUCCCCAUGCGUGGCUCACCUGUGGUCCGGCCCUCCCCGGUGCGGGACCUCCUGGCGCUGCGUGUGGCCGGGGACGCCGUGUUGCUCCGCGGCGCCCCGUGGACAGCAGGAGCCCUCACAGGUGGUGCGAUCAGCAAAUCAUUAAGAAUUACUUCCUCCUUAUCCAUAUCUUCAAAGACCUGGGAUGUGAACCUUCCUUUUGUGAUCCAGCAGCAGCUGAAGCAUUCCUGAAAGGAAACCGGUUGAACAUAUGUGGCAAUUGCUGCAUCUGGCACAAAGAUGUUACAUGAUCGUUAACGGGAAGUGAAACUGAGCCAGUUUCUCUUCAAAAUGUGGCCAGCCCUGUGGGAUGAUUUGAGAACUCCUGCUUCAAAUAUGUUUAGGUGUGUCUUUGUAGAGACUGCUUCGGUGUUCUUCACCUCCUGACACUGACGCUUCUGCUGUGCAUAGCUGUGAUUCCUGCAUAAUUUAACAGAGCCAUCUCAGGUGUCUCCCACUCUGUUCAGAGCAUUUGUGGGGUGUUCUUCGGAAUUUGGCACACAGCUUGUAUCACAUUACAUUUACAGAAGAGUUUAUCAUACUUGCUUAUUUAGAAAAUUUCCUAGAGAACAAGGUUGGUUUCAUUUUUAAACACGUAUAUUUGAGCGGCUCCCAAAGUAUUAGCUGACUCCAGUCAAGUUUUUUAUUUCCUGAUAUGAGUAUAAUCAAUAUUAUUCAUUUUUCUGUCUCACAUUCCAGCAUUGUUGGUGCAAGUGAAAUAAAUUCUCGUAGACAUAUUUUUUUCUGAUGCAUUGUAAAUGCUUGCUGGGUUUUUUAUGUUACUGUUUCAUCUUCAUAGUAUUCCAGCAGGCAGGCUUGUGGCAAGCAGGAAGGACUGGCUGAAUGGAACUGGAAUCAGCAAAAAACCUGUUUCAGUCAUUGCAAACUGAGGGUACUGGAAAAUAUGUAAAAAUAGAUUCAUUUGUUAAUUUGUUAAAAGCGUGUUUAUUUUGUGUUCUCACUUCUUCCUGUUAUAAUUGCAAAACCUUCUGAAAUUUUUUGUUCAGCAAAACUGAAGUAUAUCUAGGUACAGUAAAUGAAUUAUGCAAAUUAUUUUAUUGAAAGAACAUGCAUGUUCCUGUGUAUACAUUAUUUGCCUGAUCUUCCUAUUACAGAUGUAACCUGUAGUAAAAUCCUAGUUUGUUAAAGCAAAGGAGUGCUCUAGAGACUCCAAAUUUCUGACUGUUAUGGUAGAAAUCUGUCAUGUUUUUUGUAGGGCACAUAGAGCUUGAAUACAUUAAUAUGAUUAAAUAUUAAAAUAUGGUAAACAUUAUUUUUUGUUGAUUUAGGUUGUUUUCCUGAGGAAACAGGGCUUAUAUUUUGAUGUUCAUGACAAUCAGUCUGUGAGUUCCCCCUUAGCAAUUUCUGAAUUUUUCUAGCUGCACUUAAUUUAAUUUUAACUUUCUUCUUUCAUUAUUACGUUUAUAAAAAUCUCAAAAUACAUCAGGUUUUUUCCCUUCAACUUGUAAACUUUUGCUGUCUAUAGAGUUCUCGGUGUUCUUCUGUGAGACCACCUUUAUGAUUUUCUGCUACAUGAGAAUUUCUCCUCAGGAUCCAUCUGAGUAUCAUAAAGGUAGACACAUGAUGUAGACAGACACCUUCAGGACUGACCCUUAUAUUCUUUUGCAUGCUCAGUGAGCUUGCCAUGGCUGUUCAUGCUGUGCAUAUUUUUAAUAUUUGUACAGUUUUGAUAAAUAACCAAGCUCAAUUUUGUCUCUUCACCAAAUGUUGCUCUUGUUCUUCCUGCUGUCUUAGUUUUCCUCACUGCAAACCACAUUGAUAUCCCUUCUGCCAUCCCUACCACCAACUUCUCACAAAAUAGAAACUAAAUAAAGUUGAUUGAGCAGAAAUACAACAGUUUGUCUCACAACAAUUUACUUUUUGAUUGAUAU